UCCGUAGGGUGAACCUGCGGAGGGAUCAUUACAGAGUUGCAAAACUCCCUAAACCAUUGUGAACGUUACCUAUACCGUUGCUUCGGCGGGCGGCCCCGGGGUUUACCCCCCGGGCGCCCCUGGGCCCCACCGCGGGCGCCCGCCGGAGGUCACCAAACUCUUGAUAAUUUAUGGCCUCUCUGAGUCUUCUGUACUGAAUAAGUCAAAACUUUCAACAACGGAUCUCUUGGUUCUGGCAUCGAUGAAGAACGCAGCGAAAUGCGAUAAGUAAUGUGAAUUGCAGAAUUCAGUGAAUCAUCGAAUCUUUGAACGCACAUUGCGCCCGCCAGCAUUCUGGCGGGCAUGCCUGUUCGAGCGUCAUUUCAACCAUCAAGCCCCCGGGCUUGUGUUGGGGACCUGCGGCUGCCGCAGGCCCUGAAAAGCAGUGGCGGGCUCGCUGUCGCACCGAGCGUAGUAGCAUACAUCUCGCUCUGGUCGCGCCGCGGGUUCCGGCCGUUAAACCACCUUUUAACCCAAGGUUGACCUCGGAUCAGGUAGGAAGACCCGCUGAACUUAAGCAUAUCAAUAA
RNAcentral lists this ribosomal RNA (568 nucleotides) under Chaetomium sp. DoF12. RNAcentral's name for it is "eukaryotic LSU rRNA". The stretch from base 207 to 360 matches the Rfam family "5.8S ribosomal RNA". The record is from RNAcentral. Lineage: Eukaryota; Fungi; Ascomycota; Sordariomycetes; Sordariales; Chaetomiaceae.